CAGUCGCCACGGUAAUACAGAGGAUGCAAGCGUUAUCCGGAAUGAUUGGGCGUAAAGCGUCUGUAGGUGGCUUUUCAAGUCCGCCGUCAAAUCCCAGGGCUCAACCCUGGACAGGCGGUGGAAACUACCAAGCUGGAGUAGGGUAGGGGCAGAGGGAAUUUCCGGUGGAGCGGUGAAAUGCGUUGAGAUCGGAAAGAACACCAACGGCGAAAGCACUAUGUUGGGCCGACACUGACACUGAGAGACGAAAGCUAGGGGAGCAAAUGGGAUUAGAUACCCGGGUAGUCCCUGUCUCUUAUAC
RNAcentral lists this ribosomal RNA (301 nucleotides) under uncultured bacterium. RNAcentral describes it as "partial 16S ribosomal RNA". It matches the Rfam family "Bacterial small subunit ribosomal RNA", at positions 509 to 807 of the family's 1533-position model. The record is from RNAcentral.